RNAcentral lists this unclassified non-coding RNA (751 nucleotides) under Hevea brasiliensis (rubber tree). The record is from RNAcentral. Lineage: Eukaryota; Viridiplantae; Streptophyta; Magnoliopsida; Malpighiales; Euphorbiaceae.
UCAACCAGUCUUCUGCCUCCCUACGGAGAAGUGUUCACUUCAUGUAGUUAAGACAUGCAAUGACAAUAAGCCAACAAGGUCAUAACAAAUACAAAUUUGAUAUGAUCUCUCUGCAAAGUUUUAUUAUGAAUGGCACUAAAGUAGGGAACUCACCCAAAUCCAGAGGAAGUGAGCUGAAUUUAUCAUAAAACAACACUGAGAAUUUCUAGAAUUAACUGAGAAUUUCUAGAAUUAAGUUUUACAUGGCAAUCAAAAAUGAGAAAAAGAAAGAUAUAGUUACUCUUUCUGCUUUUUCAAGAGCAAAGGUCCAACAUUGUCACCAGUAGCUUUGUUGUGCUUUACGUGGCUUCCAUCACAUAGAGGGAAAGUUCCUGACCUCCAACAUCUGCAAUAAGCUGUGAGGGGCUUAGAAAGCUCAGCGACCACGACGGAAUCCACCACCUUCUCCUCGUUCUUUCUAAUUUCUGGGUUGAUUGAUUGAGCUUCAGCUCUCACCGCCACCAUGCGCCUUGACCUGGCAGCUGAAUGAGUGUUUGGCUUGAGUUCCCCGACUCUCGAUUUGCUGAAACAGAACCCAGCACCUAACGCACUUGCAAUUGUGGCCAUUGAAAUGGGUAAUUAGGUCUCUCUAUCUUAGUCUUUCCCGAAUUGUGUAGCUGAUCCAAUUCCUAAGAAUUGAAGGAAGGAGGUGGGUGAAGAUGAAAGUUUAUCAGGAUUGAAAAGUGGGCGUUGAACUUGUGGAGAGCACGCU